UACGAAGGGGGCUAGCGUUGUUCGGAAUUACUGGGCGUAAAGCGUGCGCAGGCGGCUUCUCAAGUCAGGGGUGAAAGCCCAGAGCUCAACUCUGGAAUUGCCUUUGAGACUGAGAGGCUUGAGUACGAGAGAGGUGAGUGGAAUUCCCAGUGUAGAGGUGAAAUUCGUAGAUAUUGGGAAGAACACCAAUGGCGAAGGCAGCUCUCUGGGACGGUACUGACGCUGAGACGCGAAAGCGUGGGGAGCGAACAGG
This 253-nucleotide ribosomal RNA is filed under the name uncultured bacterium. Its description in RNAcentral is "partial 16S ribosomal RNA". It matches the Rfam family "Bacterial small subunit ribosomal RNA", at positions 524 to 776 of the family's 1533-position model. The record is from RNAcentral.